RNAcentral lists this transfer RNA (72 nucleotides) under Candidatus Zinderia insecticola CARI. Its description in RNAcentral is "tRNA-Val (TAC) (tRNA-Val-TAC-1-1)". It matches the Rfam family "tRNA". From Rfam's summary of the family: Transfer RNA (tRNA) molecules are approximately 80 nucleotides in length. The record is from Rfam by way of RNAcentral. Lineage: Bacteria; Pseudomonadati; Pseudomonadota; Betaproteobacteria; Burkholderiales; Oxalobacteraceae.
AGACGCUUAGCUCAGUGGUAGAGUAGUGCUUUUACAAGGCAUUGGUCGUGAGUUCAAAUCUCUCAGCGUCUA